Long non-coding RNA from Tachysurus fulvidraco (yellow catfish), 263 nucleotides. RefSeq lists it as uncharacterized. NCBI's taxonomy places the organism in Eukaryota, Metazoa, Chordata, Actinopteri, Siluriformes, Bagridae. The record is from RefSeq and is a predicted model, not a curated record. The transcript has 2 exons.
UUGGAUAUUUUUUUUAAUUUCACAAUUUUUCCAAAAAGCAAUCCAAAAUAAAAACAAUCUGACCUACUCUUAUAUUUCUAUUUCUAUUUUAUGUCAAUAACUCAGGAGAAGAGGAUGGAGGAGAUCAGAGGGACGAUCAUGAGGACGAAGCUCAGUGUGAAGGCCUCAGCACCGUUACACAGAUUCCCUUCACAACACUGCACACUCGUUGACCCGAUUCCUGGAACGUUCGUUGAUCCCGAACCAGAACAGAAGCCACGGGA